AAAGAACUUGGUGCUUUGUUGCUCCUUUUCAUUCUUGGGCCAGUCUAAAAUUGUAAUGAGUAAGUAUUCCUUGCUAAUAACUUUUACCAUGUUGUUCUUCUUCCAUUUCGCCACUCCAUGUGCUUUAUCUCCUGCCCUCCAACAGAAAAAGGAAAUGGCAAAAUAAAUUAUAAAUAAAAAAGGAAAGAGGACAAAUCAAUAGAAGAUAAGACAUUGUAUUAUGGAAAGGAAAUAAUGAAUGGAAACCCUGAUGAGACCAAUGCAAGUUUUGUAGUUAAAGCCUAUGUUCUUGGCCACUAAAUAAAUGAAUAAAAUGACUAAGAGCAUAAGUGUAGAAAAGCAGACAAGUGUGGUAACAGGUAUCAUGGAUAUAUUGAUAUCAUAUUUUACAACUGAAGGUGUGGAUAUUUGCUUCUGACAUUACAAUAUUUGCUUUACAAUUAUGACACUUGCAGGAAAUGAGAAGAA
Molecule: long non-coding RNA, 468 nt
Filed under: Anser brachyrhynchus (Pink-footed goose)
Lineage: Eukaryota; Metazoa; Chordata; Aves; Anseriformes; Anatidae
Description: lncRNA (ENSABRG00000005748.1)
Source: RNAcentral